GGCCGCUCCCGGGUCCGCCAGGCUCGAUGCUGACUGUCCCGCCAGGGCUAUCCCACACCCGCUGAAUAUGACUGCUAAACUGGUGCCGUAGGUACGAGGCAUGAAGUUGUGAGGAUUGCAGGUUCCUGGGUCGGCAGUUCUCUUUACAAGGCAAUUGGUGUUUUUUCCUUAACCAAUCAAAGCAACCUGCAAACAGACAAAAGGAUUCCUACCAAAUCGAAGCGUAUCCUUGUGGCGUGCUGUCAUGUUGUGGGAAGAAUUCUGCCAGGAUAGACAGAUUCACCAUGCCUAAUCGCGAGUGCACGGCUGGCUCCCACAGUAUGUUUUGAAGAACAGCUGCUCCUAGUUUGUCUUUCAUGGGUAGAAUACCUCGGCACAGGACAGCCUGCCAGAGGGGGUGUGAGGGGAAUGUGUGUGGGCAGCUCUUCCCCAGCCCCUGCAGAACAGUUACCCUGCUAUAAAAUGCAGCUGCUGUUAUUUUGAUAUUUCACACAGCUUAGCACUCCUAAAUUCUUUGUCUCCAAACCCGAUUGUUUUCUUCUCCCCAGUUCUUUUUUGGCCAGCACCAAUGCACAUGCCUCUGCGUGUGCUGGUUAUGUCUGCAGAACUGUCUGCGGCGUAGGCUGGAGGCACAUGCUACCAUGUCGUGUCCACCACUUGCCUAGUAGGACCAUUGUGAUGAUCUGCACAACAGCCAGCCAGAGGUACCUUCACUUUGGGGCCCAUCCUCACUUCUUUGCAAUGGUUUUUGUUACUUCUGAGAACCACAGAUAGGCAAUAAACUGCAGGAUAAGGACUGCUAAUAGCUCA
Molecule: long non-coding RNA, 810 nt
Organism: Aquila chrysaetos chrysaetos
Lineage: Eukaryota; Metazoa; Chordata; Aves; Accipitriformes; Accipitridae
Exons: 2
Source: RefSeq, a predicted model, not a curated record